AUGCAAGUCGAGCGAUGACGCACAGCUUGUUGCUACGUUGAUUGGAGCCGGAUACGUGAGACUUGUGUUUGCUGAUACGCCUUUCGGGGGGACUCCGGGAAAGCGGGCCACUGACAAUAUAUGAUAAUGUCUCGCAUGGGGGUGGUUGCCCUUUUUUCCUCACGGGAUGGGCUCGCCCCCUUGGGAUUUGCUGGUGGGGUGAGGGCCGACUUACGCAAGCACCGAUACCCGGCCGGAUAGAGAGGCCGAUCACCCUGGGACUGACACACAGCCCACACUCCCACCGGAGGCAGGCGUGGGGAAUAUUGAUUGCUGGGCGAAAGCCUGACGGAUGCACCCCUCCUGAGGGAGGAAAGCCUUCCGUUUGUAAACCUCUUUCAUUCAGUAAGAAGCGCAGGUGACGGUACCUGCAAAGCAAUCGCCGGCUAACUACAUGCCAGAAGCCGCGGUAAUACCUAGGGCGCAAGCGUUGUCCGGAAUUAUUGGGCGUAAAGAGCUCGUAAAUUACUUUGUCGCGUCUGGUGUGAAAACUCGAGGCUCAACUUCAUGCUUGCAUCGGGUACUCAACAGACUAAAGUGCGUUAGGGGAGACUGGAAUUCCUGUUGUAGCGGUGGAAUGAAUUUAUAUCAUAACGAACAACGAUGGCGAAAUCUGAUCUCUGGCCCACAACUGACGCUGACGACCGAAAGCAUGCUGAGCGAACAGGACUAAAUACCCUGGUAGCUCCAUGCCGUAAACGCUGGGCACUACGUGUGGGGCUCAUUCCACUACUUCAAUGUCGCAGCAUACGCAUUGUUUGCCCCAGCUGACGCGUUCAGCCGCCAGGCUGAAACUCACAGGAAUUAAGUGAAGACCCCACUAACUUCACGAGCAUGCCGAUUAAAUUCGAGGAACUGUGAUAACCUUAGCAAGGCCUUGACAUGCACCUAAAGCCACCUUGAGAUGCUGGUCAUCUUUGCACACUUCGUUGCUCAGUGUGU
This 981-nucleotide ribosomal RNA is filed under the name Cellulosimicrobium funkei. RNAcentral describes it as "bacterial SSU rRNA". It matches the Rfam family "Bacterial small subunit ribosomal RNA", at positions 55 to 1043 of the family's 1533-position model. Lineage: Bacteria; Bacillati; Actinomycetota; Actinomycetes; Micrococcales; Promicromonosporaceae. The record is from RNAcentral.